ACCGCUGAAAGGAUCUAAAUAUGAAGAGGAGACGCGUCAAAGAUGGGACAAGUGAUCAGCCACUAUUAAGGUCCUCUGUUUAUCCUUACUUUUCAGACCGUUAAGAGGCUCUGUUCUGUAACUACCAAAACACACUGUUUCAGAUAGAGGUGGUUGCAAGAUCUGAGAGACUAUUUAUGACAACAGAGCAAAUGUCAUAGAGAACUAGAGAUGAAAAAGUCAGUUUAUUAAACAGUUUUUGAAGAUUUUUUCUUCUUCUUACAAGAUAUUCUAAAUCUGAUUUAGAAAGGUAAAUUACAAAUAAUCUAAAGUAUAAAAAAUACAAAAAAAAAAGACUCCAACUACAGAGAACUCUCUUACAACAUCCAGCUUGGAGGAUGCUCUUAAAUAACGCAUUUACACAUACACAAGAUUCAGAACUAAAGCAUA
Brassica rapa (field mustard) is the source of this 429-nucleotide long non-coding RNA. RefSeq lists it as uncharacterized. The record is from RefSeq and is a predicted model, not a curated record. Lineage: Eukaryota; Viridiplantae; Streptophyta; Magnoliopsida; Brassicales; Brassicaceae.